GAUGAACGCUGACAGAAUGCUUAACACAUGCAAGUCUACUUGAACUUCGGUUUGGGUGGCGGACGGGUGAGUAACGCGUAACGAACUUGCCUCACAGUUAGGGACAACAUUUGGAAACGAAUGCUAAUACCUGAUAUUAUGAUUUUAGGGCAUCCUAGGAUUAUGAAAGCUAUAUGUGCUGUGAGAGAGCUUUGCGUCCCAUUAGCUAGUUGGAGAGGUAACGGCUCACCAAGGCGAUGAUGGGUAGCCGGCCUGAGAGGGUGAACGGCCACAAGGGGACUGAGACACGGCCCUUACUCCUACGGGAGGCAGCAGUGGGGAAUAUUGGACAAUGGACCAAAAGUCUGAUCCAGCAAUUCUGUGUGCACGAUGACGUUUUUCGGAAUGUAAAGUGCUUUCAGUUGGGAAGAAAAAAAUGACGGUACCAACAGAAGAAGUGACGGCUAAAUACGUG
Molecule: ribosomal RNA, 454 nt
Filed under: uncultured bacterium
Lineage: Bacteria
Description: partial 16S ribosomal RNA
Rfam family: Bacterial small subunit ribosomal RNA
Source: RNAcentral